RNAcentral lists this ribosomal RNA (445 nucleotides) under uncultured bacterium. RNAcentral's name for it is "partial 16S ribosomal RNA". It matches the Rfam family "Bacterial small subunit ribosomal RNA", at positions 354 to 796 of the family's 1533-position model. The record is from RNAcentral.
GUAGGGAAUAUUGGGCAAUGGGUGCAAGCCUGACCCAGCCAUCCCGCGUGCCGGAUGAAGGCCCUCUGGGUCGUAAACGGCUUUUGACGGUGAAGAACCGAAAGGGUGCGCCCUUUUUUGACGGUAGCCGUUGAAUAAGCACCGGCUAACUCCGUGCCAGCAGCCGCGGUAAUACGGAGGGUGCGCGCGUUGUCCGGAUUUAUUGGGUUUAAAGGGUGCGUAGGCUGGAGGGACAGUCAGCGGUGAAAAGCAGUUGCUCAACAAUUGUCUUGCCUCAGAGACGAACGUGCGUGGAGUGGGAGGAGGUUACCGGAACGGAUGGUGUAGCGGUGAAAUGCAUAGAUAUCAUCCAGAACGCCAAUUGCGAAGGCAGGUAACUGUACCUAUAUCGACGCUGAUGCACGAAAGCAUGGGUAGCGAACAGGAUUAGAAACCCGUGUAGUCC